RNAcentral lists this transfer RNA (542 nucleotides) under uncultured Prochlorococcus sp. RNAcentral's name for it is "partial 16S-23S ribosomal RNA intergenic spacer". The stretch from base 212 to 284 matches the Rfam family "tRNA". The record is from RNAcentral. Lineage: Bacteria; Bacillati; Cyanobacteriota; Cyanophyceae; Synechococcales; Prochlorococcaceae.
CAGGGAGACAACAAAAUGUUUAAUAUUAUUAUUUUGUCACCUUAGGUCGAUCGGUAUCUCACGUUCUUAAUUUUUUAAGAAUUUCAUUUCCUAAGUUUUUCUAGGUCACACCCAUUAUUUUUCCUGGGCCAUUAGCUCAGGUGGUUAGAGCGCACCCCUGAUAAGGGUGAGGUCCCUGGUUCAAGUCCAGGAUGGCCCAUAUCUCUAUGUUGGGGGUAUAGCUCAGUUGGUAGAGCGCCUGCUUUGCAAGCAGGAUGUCAGCGGUUCGAGUCCGCUUACCUCCACUGAUUACCACCUCUUCCAUAACCGGUAGAAAGGAAAAGUUUUGAGUUGUGAUCAUUUUUCUGAACGAAUCUAGCUUCCUAAUGAAAUCAUUAAGAUGCUGGACUCAUUGAAUUAAUUUCAUUGUUUUCAGAGAACCUUGACAACUGCAUAGAUUAUUUUUAAAGACAAUAAGCAUCUUUAAUGAUGCAAAUUUAUUAUUUGUGCGAAUGCAUUAAUAACAAUUCUAUUAAGCUGAUGCUUCAAUUUUUGAAGUUAUU